AACCUUACCUACCCUUGACAUGGUCGGAAUCCUGAAGAGAUUCGGGAGUGCUCGAAAGAGAACCGGCGCACAGGUGCUGCAUGGCUGUCGUCAGCUCGUGUCGUGAGAUGUUGGGUUAAGUCCCGCAACGAGCGCAACCCUUGUCCUUAGUUGCUACGCAAGAGCACUCUAAGGAGACUGCCGGUGACAAACCGGAGGAAGGUGGGGAUGACGUCAAGUCCUCAUGGCCCUUAUGGGUAGGGCUUCACACGUCAUACAAUGGUCGGAACAGAGGGUUGCCAACCCGCGAGGGGGAGCUAAUCCCAGAAAACCCUCUAUCCGGAUUGCACUCUGCAACUCGAGUGCAUGAAGCUGGAAUCGCUAGUAAUCGCGGAUCAGCAUGCC
This 384-nucleotide ribosomal RNA is filed under the name Burkholderia sp. FER8. Its description in RNAcentral is "bacterial SSU rRNA". It matches the Rfam family "Bacterial small subunit ribosomal RNA", at positions 967 to 1358 of the family's 1533-position model. The record is from RNAcentral. Lineage: Bacteria; Pseudomonadati; Pseudomonadota; Betaproteobacteria; Burkholderiales; Burkholderiaceae.